Molecule: non-coding RNA, 1155 nt
Organism: Mus caroli (Ryukyu mouse)
Lineage: Eukaryota; Metazoa; Chordata; Mammalia; Rodentia; Muridae
Source: RefSeq, a predicted model, not a curated record
GCCUUCAGGUUCGCCCCUUUGAAAUUUCAAAUUCCAGUUUGUGGACAAAGUCCUAACUAUCUCACAAUAUAGGUCCCCAACUGCUGACCAAACUCCAGUCCAAGCAGCCACCUGGCCUGAGACUGGCCUGGCUUUGCCGUUUCCUUUGGCAGCUCCCAAGACCUGAGGGUAGGAGUCCUGGGCAGCUAGGACCUGCCAGGCCAUCCUGUAUCUCCCAUGGGGUUCACGACCCAGGGACCCCUGUUCCUAUCUGAGAGGAUCACUUCUUCCUGAAGCUGGAACCCGAUACUUGUUGGUGCCAACAACUGAAACCAGAAUGUCAGCUUGAAAUGGCCCCGUGUUCAGCUACUUGGAGAUAAUCUACUUACAUUUCUCCAGCCCCCCGAUGUGGAGAUGCCCGCUGGCUGCAUUCCUCAUAGUACACCCCAAACCCUGAACAGGUCCAAAUGAAACAAAGAAGAUGCAACUAAUAGGAAUUUGGUAGUGUGCUGAAGAGGCCUUCGAGGAGAAAUUGUUGGGGAUGCGGACUGUGAGCUCGUGAGCUCAUCUCGUGAGCUCAUCAGAUCCUAGAUUGUCUGGCCAGUCAAUGAAGAAAUCACGAGGUACCCGUUCAGAGAGAGACUGCCAGGCUCAUCUUCCUUCCCUAGGAACAGGGGCUUGAAGACCACGAGCAGGCGGUUGGUGGGUAAGUACAGGCAAAACGAAGGGCCCUGGCCCAACCCACCUCUCUGGAUCAGUCUGCUCCUAGUCUAUCGGGGCUAUUCACAUUGGACUACUUUGCUUUUAGGCAGGGGGAUAGCCUCAUAGUUGCUCUGUUCUCUGGAUGUGACUGUGACCCUUGUCUCGGCCAGUGACAUGAGAGGAAAAGCAAGUGGUGCCAACCCCAGUCCGAAGCCUUGAGGCUAGGUGCUUCUUUACAGAAACAAAGAUGGGUAGAGUCACCACGGUGAAGAGCGCCCUCUGCUGACCAAAGCGGGACAUGCACUAUAAGGGACUUAGACCCCCGCUAAUGGAACCAGUCUUGGAGGUGUUUUGUCACAGAACAUACCUAAUCAGAUGGGACUUCUCAACGCAUCUCGGGUUUUCCCAAGAACUCUUAUCAUAUCUGAAAACCACCUCUAAUGUUACCAAAUACAAUCUCUCUUGCAAUGGUCA